CAGCACCGCGGUAAUACGUAGGGUGCAAGCGUUAAUCGGAAUUACUGGGCGUAAAGCGUGCGCAGGCGGUUUUGUAAGACAGAGGUGAAAUACCCGGGCUCAACCUGGGAACUGCCUUUGUGACUGCAAGGCUAGAGUACGGCAGAGGGGGAUGGAAUUCCGCGUGUAGCAGUGAAAUGCGUAGAUAUGCGGAGGAACACCGAUGGCGAAGGCAAUCCCCUGGGCCUGUACUGACGCUCAUGCACGAAAGCGUGGGGAGCAAACAGGAUUAGAUACCCCUGUAGUCCCUGUCUCUUAUACC
Molecule: ribosomal RNA, 301 nt
Filed under: uncultured bacterium
Lineage: Bacteria
Description: partial 16S ribosomal RNA
Rfam family: Bacterial small subunit ribosomal RNA
Source: RNAcentral